RNAcentral lists this ribosomal RNA (527 nucleotides) under uncultured bacterium. RNAcentral describes it as "bacterial SSU rRNA". It matches the Rfam family "Bacterial small subunit ribosomal RNA", at positions 28 to 537 of the family's 1533-position model. The record is from RNAcentral.
GACGAACGCUGGCGGCGUGCCUAACACAUGCAAGUCGAGCGGAGAUAGGCGGAAGGUAACUGAAGCUUAUCUUAGCGGCGGACGGGUGAGUAACACGUGGGCAACCUGCCUUGAAGUGGGGGAUAACACCGGGAAAUCGGUGCUAAUACCGCAUAACAUACACAAACUGCAUGGUGAGUGUAUCAAAGGAGCAAUCCGCUUUAAGAUGGGCCCGCGGCUGAUUAGCUAGUUGGUGGGGUAACGGCCUACCAAGGCGACGACGGGUAGCCGGCCUGAGAGGGCGACCGGCCACACUGGGACUGAGACACGGCCCAGACUCCUACGGGAGGCAGCAGUGGGGAAUAUUGCACAAUGGGCGAAAGCCUGAUGCAGCGACGCCGCGUGAGGGAUGACGGCCUUCGGUUGUUAAACGUACUUUCGUACUAGGACGAAGGACGCGAACGGACGGUACCGUCGUUACGAAGAAAGACGACCGGCCGAACCGUACCGUACGCCACGCAGCCGGCGGUAAACCGAGUAACUCGUAA